Molecule: ribosomal RNA, 774 nt
Filed under: uncultured Neocallimastigales
Lineage: Eukaryota; Fungi; Neocallimastigomycota; Neocallimastigomycetes; Neocallimastigales
Description: partial large subunit ribosomal RNA
Rfam family: Eukaryotic large subunit ribosomal RNA
Source: RNAcentral
UCAGACGAUGCGUCAUGCAUAUCAAUAAGCGGAGGAAAAGAAACUAACAAGGAUUCCCCUAGUAACGGCGAGUGAAGCGGGAAGAGCUCAAAUUUGAAAUCUUAAAGGGUUUCCCUUUACGAAUUGUAGUUUAAAGAAGUGUUUUCUGUUGAGGUUUUGGUAAAAGUUCUUUGGAAUAGGACAUCAUAGAGGGUGAGAAUCCCGUAUUUGACCUUUACUUUCAACUUUGUGAUACACUUUCAAAGAGUCGGAUUGUUUGGGAAUGCAGUCCAAAAUGGGUGGUAAAUUUCAUCUAAAGCUAAAUAUUGGCGAGAGACCGAUAGCGAACAAGUACCGUGAGGGAAAGAUGAAAAGAACUUUGAAAAGAGAGUUAAACAGUACGUGAAAUUGUCAAAAGGGAAGCGUUUGACACCAGUGUUGUUUUUCUGAAAAUCAAUUAAAGAACUGUUUAUGCUAAGCUGUUUAGACUUUAUCAGCUAUCUGUUUAGUUUUGAGCUUUUCUUUAAUGCACUUUUCAGUUAACAAGUCAACAUCAAUUUCUUUUGCUGUAAAAAAGCUUGAGGAAGGUGGCUUGAGAUUCGUCUUAAGUGUUUAUAGCCUCUUGCCUAUGCAGUCGGAGAGAUUGAGGUCUGCAGCGUAGAUCCUUCGGGGCUAAAUGCAUUUGUGCUAAGUUAUAGCAUUUUAUAGACAACUUGUUGACUAUGAUUUGUCUUGUAGCUUACUCGCUUACGUUAUUUUACCUACGCUUAGGAUGUUGAGCGCAUGUCUCUCUCU